GUGGAUUAGAUACCCUGGUAGUCCACGCCCUAAACGAUGUCAACUAGUUGUCGGGUCUUCAUUGACUUGGUAACGUAGCUAACGCGUGAAGUUGACCGCCUGGGGAGUACGGUCGCAAGAUUAAAACUCAAAGGAAUUGACGGGGACCCGCACAAGCGGUGGAUGAUGUGGAUUAAUUCGAUGCAACGCGAAAAACCUUACCUACCCUUGACAUGUACGGAAUCCUGCUGAGAGGUGGGAGUGCCCGAAAGGGAGCCGUAACACAGGUGCUGCAUGUUUGUCGUCAACU
RNAcentral lists this ribosomal RNA (289 nucleotides) under uncultured bacterium. RNAcentral describes it as "partial 16S ribosomal RNA". It matches the Rfam family "Bacterial small subunit ribosomal RNA", at positions 773 to 1060 of the family's 1533-position model. The record is from RNAcentral.